GACAAACCUGACGUGAAAGAGAAGAGAGAAGUGUGAUCAUGUGGACAAGCUCUGUAGAAAAAUAGGUUAAGUCUCGCUAACAACGGUGAUGAAUACCUCCUUGGAGGAGGCUGGAAUAAAAUCCUAGUAGGGGAUAUGGGUUAUAUUUAAUGGCCUUCAUCAGUCAAAGUCAAAACAAAGGGGCAGAUCACCCUGGGAGUCAUCCAUCAGUAACACUCAGGAAUAUCUCAAGGCUCAGCUGUGAUUUAUGACUUUGUUGUGCUCUGCGGCCCAGAUUGCAUCACUCGACGACGCUGGAAAAAUAGUGUGCACUUGUUGUUUUAGCUGAUGCCGCCGUAUCAAUUACUGUUGCAUGUAAAUGUAAGUAAAGCUCAUCUGUCAUAGCCCUCAUGAUAAAAGGCCAAAGAUUUCCAAAUUGAAAACCAGAAAGUUGGCUGUGAGUCUGCUUAACACAAUAUAAACAAAUUAUAUUAUCGUUCAAGAUUGCAUAACUACAGAUUUUUUUUCUUAGUGCACAGACAGUCAGUAGUCCCCUAAUGUCAAGACUGACGCCACUCGAAAGUCUAGUCUGACAUCGUAUUAAUAAAUAUCGUAACACUGAGACACAACAAUGACAACAAAAGAGCAAGGCUCUCGAGGUUUUAUUUCUCAAUUAAUUUUAUGGCUGAUGGCGACAAGAAAAGGUCACCACCAGACUUCCAUGAUGUUCCACUUGAAGAUUUCUCAUGUCAGAUUGUAACUACAAAUAUUCACAACUGCAAGCACGGGGGCCCAUUUGUCCAAAAAAAGACAUGUGAAGGACAUUUGAGUGGCUGGAAUGAGCCCACACAGAGAGCUCUAUACACGGCACAAAAGGAACUGUGUAAGUACAACUGUACUGUACAAUGUGCAUUAACACACACACACACACAAAAGUCAAAAGAAUGGCCUUGUGUGAUAUCAACAGGAUGUCAAGCUGUGGCUGGAACUCUGCUGCAUCUUUGUCCCACAAGAAUGGGAAUGAAUGGAUACAGACCCACACUCAUACACCCGGCAACUAAGAAGAACAUAAAACGGGGAAGGUUUCAGUUCAGUAGGCAAAAAGUUUCCCAUUUGAAUUCGGAGCUAAGUGUGUGUGACCGGACCCGCAUUUGACUUUAGAAGGGCUGAAAUGUACGUCAUGGAGCCUUGUAUAUUUCCUGUGAAACAAGUGAAAAUGCCCAUUGCGUCCAUAAUUUGAUGGCUUCUUCCUCCCAACCUUUCAACAAGAUUCAUGACAAUCUGCUUGCAAACAGGAAACAACGGACGGAAAGCAUCCGCGGAUGACGUGAUGGUUUCAAGCGACAACAUGUGUCCAUCUGACCUUAGGUUCAAACUCAUUUGGGUGGGUCUGAACUUGCCGUUUUGUUUUGUUAUUUUUGAUCAGACAUUAAAAUCAGGACUGAACUAUUAAGGAAAAAUAAUCAAAUUGAGAUUUUACUCUGUUUUUUUUUAAACCCACCCACCGACAAAAAUCAGGGAGGGUGGAACGGUUCAAUUGCAUUUCCAUGUAUUUCAAUGGAAAACUCUACCUUGGUUCACAAACACUCAAGAUAACAAACUGUCCAUUUUUAUCUGGUUCAGUCUGGCUUUAAAGGGUCACUUCUGUCACGCCAAUGCAGAUCGUGUUAGGGAAAAAGAACUCGGGGGCAUCGUCUGGUUGCCAUGUGAUCCACAAACACAGCUGCAGAACAGCAGAAUCGCUCUGGAAU
Syngnathus acus (greater pipefish) is the source of this 1730-nucleotide long non-coding RNA. RefSeq lists it as uncharacterized. The record is from RefSeq and is a predicted model, not a curated record. The transcript has 3 exons. NCBI's taxonomy places the organism in Eukaryota, Metazoa, Chordata, Actinopteri, Syngnathiformes, Syngnathidae.